GAUGAACGCUGGCGGCGUGCCUAAUACAUGCAAGUCGAGCGAACAGAUGAGGAGCUUGCUCCUCUGACGUUAGCGGCGGACGGGUGAGUAACACGUGGAUAACCUACCUAUAAGACUGGGAUAACUUCGGGAAACCGGAGCUAAUACCGGAUAAUAUAUUGAACCGCAUGGUUCAAUAGUGAAAGACGGUUUUGCUGUCACUUAUAGAUGGAUCCGCGCCGCAUUAGCUAGUUGGUAAGGUAACGGCUUACCAAGGCAACGAUGCGUAGCCGACCUGAGAGGGUGAUCGGCCACACUGGAACUGAGACACGGUCCAGACUCCUACGGGAGGCAGCAGUAGGGAAGCUUCCGCAAUGGGCGAAAGCUUGACGGAGCAACGCCGCGUGAGUGAUGAAGGUCUUCGGAUCGUAAAACUCUGUUAUUAGGGAAGAACAAAUGUGUAAGUAACUAUGCACGUCUUGACGGUACCUAAUCAGAAAGCCACGGCUAACUACGUG
Molecule: ribosomal RNA, 497 nt
Filed under: uncultured bacterium
Lineage: Bacteria
Description: partial 16S ribosomal RNA
Rfam family: Bacterial small subunit ribosomal RNA
Source: RNAcentral